AACAAAGACUCACUGAUGACAUACUCCGAUAUAUUAUUCCCAUAGCAGCUAUUAUUACUAGUAACUCUUAAAUGGCAUCAAACCUCACUCAAAUGACUUCACUCCGAGGCCACGGCCGGCUCCGCUGCAGCCUCCUCGGCGGCGGCCGGUGCAGCGGCUUCUUCGGUUGCCGCCUCCGGCUCCUCGACCGUCGGAUCCGUGGUCUCCUCAGCUACGGGAGCGGCGGCCUCGGGUUCAGCCUCCGGCUUUGCCUCCUCGGUAGGCUCCGCUGCUGCCGGUUCGGCCUCGGUGGCUACGGGCUCGGCCGCGGGCUCUUCAGCCGGCGUCUCCUCAUGCUCUGCUGCUGCUGCUGCUUCUUCUGCUGGGGUUUCUUCUUCUUCUUCUUUGGGCUCGUCGACGGCCGGAGCAGGAGCAGGUUCGGCCUCGACGGCCGGCGCAGGUGCAGGUUCGGCCUCGACGACAGUAGCAACCGGGACAUCAGCCGGAACCUCAACGACAGGAGCUGAUUCGACCUGCAUGAAGACAACAGAAGGAGACAUUUAGCUCUAACUCGGCCGUGCAUCGGUGUGGAUGACGACUGAGCAUGCAGAUCCAGGAGCUCUUCCUAGGAAUCACAUCUUUCUAGCAGAUCUAAAGUAGAUGCAGGCAGAGUUCAACCCUCACUCCAUCUACAACCGAGUGUUCCCGAGAAGAGAGAUAACAAGUGAGUUCAUGCUCUCUUCAGGUUCGGAUAGCUACACCAGACAUGAUCGAACCUGAGAUCAUCGAUCUGAUCUCAAGUAAACCCCCUCCCCCCACACACACAACACAACCUACUCUUUUGCUGAUCUGAUCUGAUCUCUAGGCAGGAGGAUCAUGACAGAAGCCAAUUGCAGCUGAUGGCUCAUAGGACAAGGUCGUGGCUCACCUCAACAGAAGCCAUGGGAGAAGGUGAGAAGAGCUGAAGGAGAACAAGAGUGGAGCGACAAGUGAUCUACCAAAGCAGUGGGGUGGGAGAGGUCAUUGGGGAUGGAAGGGUAUUUAUACAGAGAUGCAAUGGCACUCAGAAUCUUUACAGACAACCAGCCACGUACGAUUGGCUGGAUCACACCAUUAGUUUACUCUCCCAUCUCCGGUCAUCCACGCACCUUUUGCCCAUCAGUGUGUGUGUAUUAUUUUGCGUGAUGCACUCCCAGCUAUAAUGGAUUGAUAUGUGCACUCCCUCCAUCUUUGGAUAUAUGCUACUGUGUUGGUAAUAUGAACAGAAAUUAUCUUAGUAAUUCGCAAAUUAUGUAAACGCGAUGAAUUAUUAUUAUUAUUGACUAUAGUAAACAAGAUUACAUAAAAAAUCUCAUACGAUUUUG
This 1343-nucleotide long non-coding RNA is filed under the name Musa acuminata (dwarf banana). RNAcentral describes it as "long non-coding RNA (MACU_LNC003539)". The record is from RNAcentral. Lineage: Eukaryota; Viridiplantae; Streptophyta; Magnoliopsida; Zingiberales; Musaceae.